This 497-nucleotide ribosomal RNA is filed under the name uncultured bacterium. RNAcentral's name for it is "partial 16S ribosomal RNA". It matches the Rfam family "Bacterial small subunit ribosomal RNA", at positions 28 to 507 of the family's 1533-position model. The record is from RNAcentral.
GAUGAACGCUGGCGGCGUGCCUAAUACAUGCAAGUCGAGCGAACGGACGAGAAGCUUGCUUCUCUGAUGUUAGCGGCGGACGGGUGAGUAACACGUGGAUAACCUACCUAUAAGACUGGGAUAACUUCGGGAAACCGUAGCUAAUACCGGAUAAUAUUUUGAACCGCAUGGUUCAAAAGUGAAAGACGGUCUUGCUGUCACUUAUAGAUGGAUCCGCGCUGCAUUAGCUAGUUGGUAAGGUAACUGCUUACCAAGGCAACGAUGCAUAGCCGACCUGAGAGGGUGAUCGGCCACACUGGAACUGAGACACGGUCCAGACUCCUACGGGAGGCAGCAGUAGGGAAUCUUCCGGAAUGGGCGAAAGCCUGACGGAGCAACGCCGCGUGAGUGAUGAAGGUCUUCGGAUCGUAAAACUCUGUUAUUAGGGAAGAACAUAUGUGCAAGUAACUGUGCACAUCUUGACGGUACCUAAUCAGAAAGCCACGGCUAACUACGUG